Glossina fuscipes is the source of this 4069-nucleotide long non-coding RNA. RefSeq lists it as uncharacterized. The transcript has 2 exons. Lineage: Eukaryota; Metazoa; Arthropoda; Insecta; Diptera; Glossinidae. The record is from RefSeq and is a predicted model, not a curated record.
AAAAAAAAAAAAAUCUAAAAGAUGUAUAAUUUAUAAUAUUAUAAAGAAAGAAUACUUAGUAUUUUAUAUAUUUAGUAGGUCUGGUCAAAAAAUAUCGAGCAUUUAUUCAUGGAACUAUCCUCGGUUAGAUUGCUAAAAUUUCAAAUAGCCGUGCCCAACUAUUUACAGCCUUAAAGGUUAAGUACUUGCUAUGGACGUACUCGACUGAUUCGAAACGAUUUGAAAACUAUGGAUGUAUGAGUGCGCAUCAUACCAUUCAGUCGACAGAAAUUUUUAAAUUUUAUGAAUUUCAGAAAACCGUGAGAAACCCUUGCUCGACAAGUGGCGCGACUAAGCAUUCCUAUGUAGCCGGGAAGUUGUUUAAAGAUUAAUUCUUCCCCAAUUCUUUUCGCUUUACACCUACACGCAUUUUAAAGACUCUCUUCAAGUUAUUGGGGACUUCGAAUAUGUUAAUGAGAAUGCCGACAAAUUAAACGUAAAUAUAUUCCCCUUCUUUGUCAGUGGGUCAGCCAGCCAACAGUAAAAAAGCUUCAAUGUGACCACGAAGUCAUAUAACUAUAAACAUUUUGCAGGAAGUGAUCUGCCACAAUUUUGAACUAUUUUCGCAUUUAGGCAAAUAUAUUCUGCGGCCUGUUCAUGUCUGUCGAUAUCGAGUAAACUCGAUCGUAAUUUGCACAUAUUGCCGGACAGUAUUUUUACCAUCGAAAAAUGUUUCAUUCGAUAGUAAAGAAAAUUGUAUUCAUUAUCGAUAGCUGCCAAUUCUUUAUAGUGAGUCCAUAACCGAUAGCUAUCGAGUUAGCUCGAAUGUCGUGAACAUUGACCCAACAACCCUUUCCGGCGUCAUAUUCUAAUGGCAAUGACCUUGAGGGCAAGACGACUGUGCUUUACGAAGCUAAAUAGUAAAGACAUUACGGUAAAGUUUAGGCAUUCGUACAUAUCGGCCUGACAGCUACUGGCCUGAGAUGAAAGUAGAAAAAUUUAUUUUCAAGAGAUAGUAAGGUGAACAAAUUUAAUGCAUCAUGCAUCACCGUGGACACAGGAUUCCAUCAUACUAACUAAAAAAUUGAAAUUCAAUCUACAAUUUUUUAUAUCGAAAAUGAGGAAAACCCAUAAUUACAUUUAGCGUAGAGUAGGCGCCGCCUUGGAGAUUUCCAAGCCUUUCCCUUAUGAAAAAUUUGUCUUAAAUAAAAUGUAGAUGAUGGUGUAAAAAAUAUUGAGCCUUAUAUCUACGAUGAGUCAAGUAGGGCAGAGACAUGAUUUUGCUAAAGCAAUUACUUUUCGGAAAACGUCAGAGUUGGGCAUAGAAAUUAUUAAUAUUUUGCAUAUAAAGCAAAAUGCAAUAAAUCUCGAUACUUUUUCGUUCGAAUGCGUAUAGAUUUUAAACUUCAAAUUCAAUUUUUGAAAAUUCAAAUUCAGUUUUUUACAUAUUAAAUAAUUUUUAAUUAAAUUCAGAUAAAUAUAUGCUUGGGACUUUGUUUAAAACAAAAAUCAACUUGGGUCUGCACCGAUUCCACACUGGUUUUUCACAAGAUUUUAAUGUACUUUUCUAUGAAGAACACACGAUCCAGGAAAAAAGAUAUAUCUUUUAUUCGUUCAAAAUAAAAAUAUAAGUUGUCAUCAACUUACGUCUACGCAAAAAUUUUAUCUUACCAUUACGGAUCAAGGAUCAACUGCGUCUAAAAAAAAAAUUCGCAUAAAGAAAGGACUCAGCGUGAAGGCUAGACAUUGGGGUAUCCGACUUCCAAAGACAUUUGGGAUGCUCUAAUCUUUUCGGCUAAAGUGAAUUUUUUUUCGGAAGAGGCGAACAGCUCUUUCCGAAACAUCGAUCCCUUUAGGGUUCUCGUUAUCGAUCUAGCUAACAUAACGACGAAACACAGAAACGAUGCUGUCCUUUCCUGUUUUGAAGGUACUUGGAUAUUUCAUUCGAUGCAUAUGUUGAAGAAAUUAUUCUUGACAUCAUCGGUGUAUGUAAAGGGUCUCCUAAUUUUUACUCGAAAUUUAAAUUAAAUAGAAAGCAGAGUCAUUUGUUUAUCUAAUAAUAACGUACGUGCGAUAGGGUUAUGUAUAGAAUAGCACGUCGGGCAAAAUGGUGUCCACGACUUUGCUGGCACGUACAUGCACUCUCCUAUCGAAGUUUUCAAUGAGCAUUUUGCAUAGUCGAUGCACUGUUGACCCCGCCUUCUUCAAUUCACGGGUGAUUGUAGGGUUUUUUCUCUUCCUUCAAUUCAUGGAUGGUUGUGGGCUUUCUGGCAUACACCUUUGACUUCGAAUGAUCCCAUAAAAAGUAAUCCAUUGGUAUUAAAUCACGUGAUCUGGUGGCUCUACUCUCGUCGCCGAAACGAGAGGGUACAUAUCCAAUUCAGCCCAAAAUUCGCACCAAACUCUUGUGGAUGUACUUGUUUUUCGACAAUCACUUGUGGAUUAUCUGAACCUCAAAUUAACGAACGGCAAUAUAACGAUUAACGAAGCCAUCAACGUGACCGUAUAUUGUGCGCGAUUUGCGGUCGCCAAACUUUCAUUAUUUUCCACGUAUUGCUCAACAAUGGGAACGUGUUGCUCUCUUGCGCAAUGCAACACUCAACACUUUUCCUUUUCGUUUGCCAACACUUUACUGUGCAAACGACGGCAGGUUCAAAUCUUGCACAGGUUUUGGGAUAUCCUAAAUAACAGAAUUAUGAGAACCAUCAGAUCGAAAUUGAAGAUUACACGUUCGAGUUAGCUUCAUAACGACAGCCUUAAACCGGUUUCAAUUUUUUUCGAAAUCAUCGCGUCCUGGAACGUCUGUACAAUAUUACGAUUAUUUGAAAUGUUAAUCUUUAAAUGCGUAUUGUUGCCCAUUGUCUAUAUUCCAGUAAAAAUUAAUUUUAAAAUUAAAUGGAAUUGAAGUGUAGACAAUUGGCAACAAUGUGCAUUUGAGGCUUAAACAUUUCUUCCUCGAAGCACGAUCUUUUGAAACCCCAAACAGUCUAAUUCCAACAAGUUUCAUUCAAAUUUUUUACAAUACAUUUAAAAAAAAACCUUUUCACAUAAAUGAUUUUAAGCCUGCAUUGGACAGACAGCAUAACAUAAAGUAGACGCUAUUAAAUUUUAUAUAUAUGAUGUACACAAAUAGCAUCGUUUCAGCUAUUAUUGCCUGUCUGUCCGUUCUCUUUUUUAUACACAACGUCUGCCCUUAUUAUACUACUGUGGGCGAAUCCCUAUAUCGUCGGGAAAAUUUUUGGUGUACUCGAAGAGUAAAAUGUAAAUGACUUGAAGCGAUGUAAAGAGGAAGCUCCAUAUUGUUUGCAAAAAAAAACUGCAAAAAAGUGGUAAUAGGUGCUGAUUUUUGACCUAAACCUUGCGAGCAUUAUAAAAUAAAUGGGAGAUAGAUUUGGAUAAAGUUGGUUGUUGAUGAUGGCGUUUUCAGUGGGAGCUGUUCUGACAUUUCUAAAUUGCCUUAAGGUUCGUCAAGGUUGUGCAUUCCUUACCGGGUUUUGAUCCUCGUUGCAUAGAAGUCAUUAGUAAAGCAUUAAUGUAAUAAUUUGCAAAAGGAUCUUUGCUGACUAUGGCAAACUUGAGGCACUCUUUUCUGCCUUAAUACGAAGCUUUAGCUCGUUAAAAGCCGUCCUCUGUUCAAAUUCUCUCUCAACUUUGUAAUGGUACUUAAGAAGUCCCGUUACACUGUAUGGCCUGUAUGGAUAUUAGACUUUUCUGAUUAUUGCUUCUGGAGAACAACUACAGCAAGUCGCGCAAACGCAUUUCAUUUUAAUUGAUAAUGAUACAUAUAUUAGGCAAUUGUUAAAGAGUGGACGCCCUCGAAUAUUACACGACAGAAUAUCGUGCAUCCUCGACGACUUCCACAAUUUUUUGGUAAUAUAUACCUCGAGAAUUUUUUUUUAGAAAAGUCUUAGUAUAAAUGAAUAUACGUAUCACGUGUACUUAUACACACACACAUAUUAAACACUCUAGAAAAUGUUGAGUUUCAUAAAACUGGAUAUAGAAGCAUCUUAAUGGAUAAUUAAUUCAGUGUGCACUCAACUUUCUUUUGACACGAUAGAUACGUUUCUUAGAAAACCUUGCAAAAAAAAAA